Molecule: ribosomal RNA, 263 nt
Filed under: uncultured bacterium
Lineage: Bacteria
Description: partial 16S ribosomal RNA
Rfam family: Bacterial small subunit ribosomal RNA
Source: RNAcentral
GUCCUAGCCGUAAACGGUGCACGUUUGCUGUAAAGGAAUCGACCCCUUUGUGGCGUAGCCAACGCGUUAAACGUGCCGCCUGGGAAGUACGGUCGCAAGAUUAAACUCAAAGAAAUUGACGGGGCCUGCACAAGCGGUGGAGUAUGUGGCUCAAUUCGAUGCAACGCGAAGAACCUUACCUGGCCUUGACAUGUACGUAGUAGAAGGGUGAAAGCCUGACGAGAUAGCAAUAUCAGCGUACACAGGUGCUGCAUGGCUGUCGU